This 253-nucleotide ribosomal RNA is filed under the name uncultured bacterium. RNAcentral describes it as "partial 16S ribosomal RNA". It matches the Rfam family "Bacterial small subunit ribosomal RNA", at positions 524 to 776 of the family's 1533-position model. The record is from RNAcentral.
UACGAAGGGGGCUAGCGUUGAUCGGAAUCACUGGGCGUAAAGCGCACGUAGGCGGCUUUCUAAGUCAGGGGUGAAAUCCUGGAGCUCAACUCCAGAACUGCCUUUGAUACUGGGGAGCUCGAGUCCGGAAGAGGUGAGUGGAACUCCGAGUGUAGAGGUGAAAUUCGUAGAUAUUCGGAAGAACACCAGUGGCGAAGGCGGCUCACUGGUCCGGUACUGACGCUGAGGUGCGAAAGCGUGGGGAGCAAACAGG